RNAcentral lists this transfer RNA (71 nucleotides) under Nitrospirota bacterium. RNAcentral describes it as "Nitrospirae bacterium (hot springs metagenome) tRNA-Gln". It matches the Rfam family "tRNA". Rfam says of the family: Transfer RNA (tRNA) molecules are approximately 80 nucleotides in length. Their secondary structure includes four short double-helical elements and three loops (D, anti-codon, and T loops). RNAcentral also lists the same sequence under 1 other name. Lineage: Bacteria; Pseudomonadati; Nitrospirota. The record is from RNAcentral.
UGCCCUGUCGUCUAAUGGUAGGACACCAGACUCUGGAUCUGGGUGUUGUGGUUCGAGUCCACACGGGGCAG